GCCUGAUGCAGCGACGCCGCGUGAGGGAUGACGGCCUUCGGGUUGUAAACCUCUUUCAAUAGGGACGAAGCGCAAGUGACGGUACCUAUAGAAGAAGGACCGGCCAACUACGUGCCAGCAGCCGCGGUAAUACGUAGGGUCCGAGCGUUGUCCGGAAUUACUGGGCGUAAAGAGCUCGUAGGUGGUUUGUCGCGUUGUUCGUGAAAACUCACAGCUCAACUGUGGGCGUGCGGGCGAUACGGGCAGACUAGAGUACUGCAGGGGAGACUGGAAUUCCUGGUGUAGCGGUGGAAUGCGCAGAUAUCAGGAGGAACACCGGUGGCGAAGGCGGGUCUCUGGGCAGUAACUGACGCUGAGGAGCGAAAGCGUGGGGAGCGAACAGGAUUAGAUACCCUGGUAGUCCACGCCGUAAACGGUGGGUACUAGGUGUGGGUUUCCUUCCUUGGGAUCCGUGCCGUAGCUAACGCAUUAAGUACCCCGCCUGGGGAGUACGGCCGCAAGGCUAAAACUCAAAGAAAUUGACGGGGGCCCGCACAAGCGGCGGAGCAUGUGGAUUAAUUCGAUGCAACGCGAAGAACCUUACCUGGGUUUGACAUGCACAGGACGCCGGCAGAGAUGUCGGUUCCCUUGUGGCCUG
RNAcentral lists this ribosomal RNA (637 nucleotides) under Mycobacterium sp. So3Pt_236. RNAcentral's name for it is "bacterial SSU rRNA". It matches the Rfam family "Bacterial small subunit ribosomal RNA", at positions 381 to 1030 of the family's 1533-position model. The record is from RNAcentral. Lineage: Bacteria; Bacillati; Actinomycetota; Actinomycetes; Mycobacteriales; Mycobacteriaceae.